Molecule: ribosomal RNA, 335 nt
Filed under: uncultured bacterium
Lineage: Bacteria
Description: bacterial SSU rRNA
Rfam family: Bacterial small subunit ribosomal RNA
Source: RNAcentral
GACGAACGCUGGCGGCGUGCUUAACACAUGCAAGUCGAGCGGUAAGGCCCUUUCGGGGGUACACGAGCGGCGAACGGGUGAGUAACACGUGGGUGACCUGCCCUCAGCUCUGGGAUAAGCCUGGGAAACCGGGUCUAAUACUGGAUAUGACUCCAUGACGCAUGUUGUGGGGUGGAAAGCCUUGUGCGGCUGAGGAUGGGCCCGCGGCCUAUCAGCUUGUUGGUGGGGUGAGGCCCUACCAAGGCGACGACGGGUAGCCGGCCUGAGAGGGCGACCGGCCACACUGGGACGUGAGGACACGGCCCACGACUCCUACGGGAGGCAGCAGUGGGGAA